Molecule: ribosomal RNA, 401 nt
Filed under: uncultured bacterium
Lineage: Bacteria
Description: partial 16S ribosomal RNA
Rfam family: Bacterial small subunit ribosomal RNA
Source: RNAcentral
AAUAUUGCACAAUGGGCGAAAGCCUGAUGCAGCAACGCCGCGUGAGCGAUGAAGGCCUUUGGGUCGUAAAGCUCUGUCCUUGGGGAAGAAAAAAAUGACGGUACCUUAGGAGGAAGCCCCGGCUAACUACGUGCCAGCAGCCGCGGUAAUACGUAGGGGGCGAGCGUUAUCCGGAAUUACUGGGCGUAAAGGGUGCGUAGGCGGCCUUUUAAGUCAGAUGUGAAAGGCUACGGCUUAACCGUAGUUAGCAUUUGAAACUAGAAGGCUUGAGUGCAGGAGAGGAGAGUGGAAUUCCUAGUGUAGCGGUGAAAUGCGUAGAUAUUAGGAGGAACACCAGUGGCGAAGGCGACUCUCUGGACUGCAACUGACGCUGAGGCACGAAAGCGUGGGGAGCAAACAGG